RNAcentral lists this unclassified non-coding RNA (345 nucleotides) under soil metagenome. RNAcentral's name for it is "partial contains 5.8S ribosomal RNA, internal transcribed spacer 2, and large subunit ribosomal RNA". The stretch from base 1 to 120 matches the Rfam family "5.8S ribosomal RNA", at positions 35 to 154 of the family's 154-position model. The record is from RNAcentral.
GAUGAAGAACGCAGCGAAAUGCGAUACGUAAUGUGAAUUGCAGAAUUCAGUGAAUCAUCGAGUCUUUGAACGCACAUUGCGCCCUCUGGUAUUCCGGAGGGCAUGCCUGUCCGAGCGUCAUUGCUGCCCUCAAGCACGGCUUGUGUGUUAGGCCCCGUCCUCCGCUCGCGGGGGACGGGCCUGAAAGGCAGCGGCGGCACCGCGUCCGGUCCUCGAGCGUAUGGGGCUUUGUCACCCGCUCUGUAGGCCCGGCCGGCGCCUGCCGAUCAACCACACUUUUAUUCAGGUUGACCUCGGAUCAGGUAGGGAUACCUGCUGAACUUAAGCAUAUCAAUAAGCGGAGGA